Molecule: ribosomal RNA, 398 nt
Filed under: uncultured bacterium
Lineage: Bacteria
Description: bacterial SSU rRNA
Rfam family: Bacterial small subunit ribosomal RNA
Source: RNAcentral
AAUAUUGCACAAUGGGGGAAACCCUGAUGCAGCGACGCCGCGUGAGUGAAGAAGUUAUUCGUAAUGUAAAGCUCUGUCAGAAGGGAAGAAAGAAAUGACGGUACCUGACCAAGAAGCCCCGGCUAACUACGUGCCAGCAGCCGCGGUAAUACGUAGGGGGCAAGCGUUAUCCGGAAUCACUGGGUGUAAAGGGAGCGUAGACGGUUGUGCAAGUCUGGAGUGAAAGGCGGGGGCCCAACCCCCGGACUGCUCUGGAAACUGUGUAACUGGAGUGCAGGAGAGGCAGGCGGAAUUCCUGGUGUAGCGGUGAAAUGCGUAGAUAUCAGGAGGAACACCGGUGGCGAAGGCGGCCUGCUGGACUGUAACUGACGUUGAGGCUCGAAAGCGUGGGGAGCAAA